Molecule: ribosomal RNA, 709 nt
Filed under: uncultured Brochothrix sp.
Lineage: Bacteria; Bacillati; Bacillota; Bacilli; Caryophanales; Listeriaceae
Description: bacterial SSU rRNA
Rfam family: Bacterial small subunit ribosomal RNA
Source: RNAcentral
UAGUCCACGCCGUAAACGAUGAGUGCUAAGUGUUAGGGGGUUCCGCCCUUUAGUGCUGCAGUUAACGCAUUAAGCACUCCGCCUGGGGAGUACGACCGCAAGGUUGAAACUCAAAGGAAUUGACGGGGGCCCGCACAAGCGGUGGAGCAUGUGGUUUAAUUCGAAGCAACGCGAAGAACCUUACCAGGUCUUGACAUCCUUUGACCAUUCUGGAGACAGAACUUUCCCUUCGGGGACAAAGUGACAGGUGGUGCAUGGUUGUCGUCAGCUCGUGUCGUGAGAUGUUGGGUUAAGUCCCGCAACGAGCGCAACCCUUGAUUUUAGUUGCCAGCAUUCAGUUGGGCACUCUAAAGUGACUGCCGGUGUAAGCCGGAGGAAGGUGGGGAUGACGUCAAAUCAUCAUGCCCCUUAUGACCUGGGCUACACACGUGCUACAAUGGAUAAUACAAAGGGUCGCGAAGCCGCGAGGUGGAGCCAAUCCCAUAAAAUUAUUCUCAGUUCGGAUUGCAGGCUGCAACUCGCCUGCAUGAAGCCGGAAUCGCUAGUAAUCGUAGAUCAGCAUGCUACGGUGAAUACGUUCCCGGGCCUUGUACACACCGCCCGUCACACCACGAGAGUUUGUAACACCCAAAGCCGGUUUGGUAACCUUCGGGAGCUAGCCGUCUAAGGUGGGAUAGAUAAUUGGGGUGAAGUCGUAACAAGGUAACCA